AACCUAAUAGCGUAAUUAACUUGACUAAUAAUGGGAUUAGUUUUUUAACUAUUUAUAGAUAAUUAACACAAUCCCGGGGCGUUCUAUAUAGUUAUGUAUAAUAAUAUUUAUAUUAUUUAUGCCUCUAACUGGAACGUACCUUGAGCAUAUAUGCUGUGACCCGAAAGAUGGUGAACUAUACUUGAUCAGGUUGAAGUCAGGGGAAACCCUGAUGGAAGACCGAAACAGUUCUGACGUGCAAAUCGAUUGUCAGAAUUGAGUAUAGGGGCGAAAGACCAAUCGAACCAUCUAGUAGCUGGUUCCUUCCGAAGUUUCCCUCAGGAUAGCUGGUGCAUUUUAAUGUUAUAUAAAAUAAUCUUAUCUGGUAAAGCGAAUGAUUAGAGGCCUUAGGGUCGAAACGAUCUUAACCUAUUCUCAAACUUUAAAUGGGUAAGAACCUUAACUUUCUUGAUAUGAAGUUUAAGGAUAUGAUAUAAUGUGCCCAGUGGGCCACUUUUGGUAAGCAGAACUGGCGCUGUGGGAUGAACCAAACGUAAUGUUACGGUGCCCAAAUUAACAACUCAUGCAGAAACCAUGAAAGGCGUUGGUUGCUUAAAACAGCAGGACGGUGAUCAUGGAAGUCGAAAUCCGCUAAGGAGUGUGUAAGAACUCACCUGCCGAAGCAACUAGCCCUUAAAAUGGAUGGCGCUUAAGUUGUAUACCUAUACAUUACCGCUAAAGUAGAUGAUUUAUAUUACUUGUGAUAUAAAUUUUGAAACUUUAGUGAGUAGGAAGGUACAAUGGUAUGCGUAGAAGUGUUUGGCGUAAGCCUUCAUGGAGCUGCCAUUGGCACAGAUCUUGGUGGUAGUAGCAAAUAAUCGAAUGAGACCUUGGAGGACUGAAGUGGAGAAGGGUUUCGUGUGAACAGUGGUUGAUCACGAGUUAGUCGGUCCUAAGUUCAAGGCGAAAGCCGAAAAUUUUCAAGUAAAAAAUCAGUGAGUAAUAUUGUCAAAUCUUUUAUGAUUUUUAAAUACUUGAAUAAUUUUGAACGAAAGGGAAUACGGUUCCAAUUCCGUAACCUGUUGAGUAUCCGUUUGUUAUUAAAUAUGGGCCUCGUGCUCAUCCUGGCAACAGGAACGACCAUAAAGAAGCCGUCGAGAGAUAUCGGAAGAGUUUUCUUUUCUGUUUUAUAGCCGUACUACCAUGGAAGUCUUUCGCAGAGAGAUAUGGUAGAUGGGCUAGAAGAGCAUGACAUAUACUGUUGUGUCGAUAUUUUCUCCUCGGACCUUGAAAAUUUAUGGUGGGGACACGCAAACUUCUCAACAGGCCGUACCAAUAUCCGCAGCUGGUCUCCAAGGUGAAGAGUCUCUAGUCGAUAGAAUAAUGUAGGUAAGGGAAGUCGGCAAAUUAGAUCCGUAACUUCGGGAUAAGGAUUGGCUCUGAAGAUUGAGAUAGUCGGGCUUGAUUGGGAAACAAUAACAUG
This 1462-nucleotide non-coding RNA is filed under the name Drosophila persimilis. RNAcentral describes it as "Eukaryotic large subunit ribosomal RNA". It matches the Rfam family "Eukaryotic large subunit ribosomal RNA", at positions 705 to 1997 of the family's 3401-position model. Lineage: Eukaryota; Metazoa; Arthropoda; Insecta; Diptera; Drosophilidae. The record is from Rfam by way of RNAcentral.